RNAcentral lists this long non-coding RNA (844 nucleotides) under Physcomitrium patens. RNAcentral describes it as "long non-coding RNA (PPAT_LNC011435)". Lineage: Eukaryota; Viridiplantae; Streptophyta; Bryopsida; Funariales; Funariaceae. The record is from RNAcentral.
CCAUCAUCAAAAAGUUCUCUAUUGCUAAAUUCACAUUGGUCAAUGACUAAUAAAUGAUCAAUAAAAAAAAUGGUUAGAUCCUCAACCAAUGAUAUUGAGUGAAUGAAUUUACUAAAUGUUUGGAUUAAUUUAACAAUCUCCAAAACAUAAAGUAAUAGUUUUUAGUGGAAUAAUGAAUAGCACAUAAAAGUGGAGGAGAGGGGUGGGCAUGAUUCAAGGUAUCAAGACCAAUGCACUCUCUACGUUCUAUUAGAAUGGUCCACAUAAACAUGAACUAUUGCGUUCAAAAUUUAAUCCACACAUACAAAACUACGUGGAUCGGAGCUCAAGUCACUCGGUGAAGGUCAAACCCCAACCCCAGAAUCGCAAUGCAGUUAGGGUUUCGCAGCACCGACAUCACACGAAGAAGCUUCAUCAUCAAGGUUUAGGAAUCAACACCGCAACCUUCACACACGCCCAUCGACAACCGCGACUUGCCUGCACGCGUCGGGGUGAUUCGCCAUGGAGCGCUGGCAUCCAGCGUUGGUCACAUCGGCCCCGCUUCAUCUCGACGAUGCCGAAGUGGCUCCCGCUUCUGCGGUCGAGCGGCGCAUGCAUCCAUCGACAACGCCUGCGCAGCUUUUUGCACUCCAUGACGUGUCCAUGCAAUCGCAUCUGAGUGGUUGAACAGGGAUAUUAGAUCUCAUGAGUUCACGUCUUUGCAGAUCUUCGCCUUACGAUUCGGUCGACGACAGUAUGGAGACAUGGUUUGUGUUACUGCACAUUGUAGAUAUGUGCGUCACUUCCCCGUCGGUUGCGACGGUGUCCGCCGGGUACGUUAGAGUACACUAGCACACUAAGCAUG